ACGCCACAGUGUGCUUUGGCCACGUGUCUGGAAAGAGGGAUUAAUCACGAUUCAUCCGUUGGAGUUAAGGUUGCUGGUUGUGGAAUUUGGAGCUGCGGAGAUUUGAGCUGUGCUCCAAAAGUGCAUGUUGAAGGUUAUCACCACAGUUCCACUGCUGUCCACAUUCAUGAGCAGUCUUGACCAGUACUCUGACCAGUUGAUGAAGAUUCUACGAAAAAAAGGAGGGGAAACAGCGCGGCGG
Molecule: non-coding RNA, 241 nt
Organism: Maylandia zebra (zebra mbuna)
Lineage: Eukaryota; Metazoa; Chordata; Actinopteri; Cichliformes; Cichlidae
Source: RefSeq, a predicted model, not a curated record